RNAcentral lists this non-coding RNA (22 nucleotides) under Arabidopsis thaliana (thale cress). The record is from RNAcentral. Lineage: Eukaryota; Viridiplantae; Streptophyta; Magnoliopsida; Brassicales; Brassicaceae.
GAUAAAACUCUGGAUAGUUAGC